UUUGGAAAAGCUGUUGACAUCUCAU
This 25-nucleotide non-coding RNA is filed under the name Cricetulus griseus (Chinese hamster). Lineage: Eukaryota; Metazoa; Chordata; Mammalia; Rodentia; Cricetidae. The record is from RNAcentral.